Molecule: ribosomal RNA, 435 nt
Filed under: Acanthamoeba sp.
Lineage: Eukaryota; Discosea; Longamoebia; Acanthamoebidae
Also listed under: 1 other name
Description: SSU rRNA
Rfam family: Eukaryotic small subunit ribosomal RNA
Source: RNAcentral
UUGAGGUUCAGCAGGCAGAUUCAUUUUCUGCCACCGAAUACAUUAGCAUGGGAUAAUGGAAUAGGACCCUGUCCUCCUAUUUUCAGUUGGUUUUGGCAGCGCGAGGACUAGGGUAAUGAUUAAUAGGGAUAGUUGGGGGCAUUAAUAUUUAAUUGUCAGAGGUGAAAUUCUUGGAUUUAUGAAAGAUUAACUUCUGCGAAAGCAUCUGCCAAGGAUGUUUUCAUUAAUCAAGAACGAAAGUUAGGGGAUCGAAGACGAUCAGAUACCGUCGUAGUCUUAACCAUAAACGAUGCCGACCAGCGAUUAGGAGACGUUGAAUACAAAACACCACCAUCGGCGCGGUCGUCCUUGGCGCGUUCGUGUUCACGCACGGGCGCGCGAGGGCGGUUUAGCCCGGUGGCACCGGUGAAUGACUCCCCUAGCAGCUUGUGAGAA